RNAcentral lists this ribosomal RNA (497 nucleotides) under uncultured bacterium. Its description in RNAcentral is "partial 16S ribosomal RNA". It matches the Rfam family "Bacterial small subunit ribosomal RNA", at positions 28 to 507 of the family's 1533-position model. The record is from RNAcentral.
GACGAACGCUGGCGGCGUGCCUAAUACAUGCAAGUAGAACGCUGAAGAGAGGAGCUUGCUCUUCUUGGAUGAGUUGCGAACGGGUGAGUAACGCGUAGGUAACCUGCCUGGUAGCGGGGGAUAACUAUUGGAAACGAUAGCUAAUACCGCAUGAAAUUGCUUAUCGCAUGAUAAUUGAUUGAAAGAUGCAAUUGCAUCACUACCAGAUGGACCUGCGUUGUAUUAGCUAGUUGGUGAGGUAACGGCUCACCAAGGCGACGAUACAUAGCCGACCUGAGAGGGUGGUCGGCCCCACUGGGACUGAGACACGGCCCAGACUCCUACGGGAGGCAGCAGUAGGGAAUCUUCGGCAAUGGGGGGAACCCUGACCGAGCAACGCCGCGUGAGUGAAGAAGGUUUUCGGAUCGUAAAGCUCUGUUGUAAGAGAAGAACGGGUGUGAGAGUGGAAAGUUCACACUGUGACGGUAUCUUACCAGAAAGGGACGGCUAACUACGUG